GGGCGGUUGGCUCAGCGGCAAGAGCGCUUCCCUCACACGGAAGAAGCCGCAGGUUCAAAUCCUGCACCGCCCA
Molecule: transfer RNA, 73 nt
Filed under: Candidatus Omnitrophota bacterium
Lineage: Bacteria; Pseudomonadati; Candidatus Omnitrophota
Description: tRNA-Val
Rfam family: tRNA
About the family: Transfer RNA (tRNA) molecules are approximately 80 nucleotides in length. Their secondary structure includes four short double-helical elements and three loops (D, anti-codon, and T loops).
Source: RNAcentral